Sorghum bicolor (sorghum) is the source of this 1191-nucleotide long non-coding RNA. RefSeq lists it as uncharacterized. The record is from RefSeq and is a predicted model, not a curated record. NCBI's taxonomy places the organism in Eukaryota, Viridiplantae, Streptophyta, Magnoliopsida, Poales, Poaceae. The transcript is spliced from 2 exons.
UUCUGGAAUAAGAACAAAACAAGUGUUAGAAAUCUUUGGUGCAGAAACUACGGCAACAGCCAGCAUUUUAACUACCAGUUUGACAGAUAUUCAAUCAAUAGGUGGUUGGUUGGAACAAAUUUUCUCAGUGAUGCCCACAAGUUUUCCUUUGGUUGAGGAAUCAAAUGUGGUUUGAGGCAUGUGGGGUACUGAAAAGUUAGACAGGCGAGGUGUUGAUAACAACAUAAAUAAAGCAAAUAAAAGGAAAAGUUGUCUUUUAUUCUUUUGCAAGUCAUUGUAUACCCAUAUAGCAGUAGUAGAUAUAGGAGAAAUUUGGUCCUCAACUUCUGAUUCAGAUUAACGUUUGUACACCUUAGAAGCCAUGUUAUGAUGGGAGCUUCUACUUGAAGCCUCUGAAAUGCUAUCACAACUUUUUUUCGAAGGAUAAGGUUACUGCAACUCAUGCAUGUUUUUUUUUUACGUUAAAGCUCAUGCAUAUUGAACUAGUAUAUAUCAUAAACAGACCAUUAUUGAGCAACCAUCUGGUGAUUAAGUGUGCCUUUUUCAAUACAGCUCGAUAUAUUUACCAGUGCACAGAGUCAACAACUAAAACUUAGAUGCUGAUGCAGGGAAAGAGAGAUGCCACCAGCCGUCCUGUCCUGCCCGUCCAGCCUUCCCCUUUUGUGAUUGUGACUGCCACUAUAGCCACAGUGGAUCGUAAUUAUUGGCGAAAUAUCAGUUCUUAACCGAAACUCUCAAUCCAAUUUCAUAACAAAGAGCACAUGUUUAGUAUGAAUGUGAUGUUUAUUUAUUUCUGAUACUGCAGGAUAUGCAAGGUUAUCAUGGAAAGGAGAUCUGGAGGCAUAAAUGAAGCGGCACAAGUCUAACGUCCAGAAAGUGGCAGCUGAGCUUGUUGAGUUCAAUCAAGAGAUUAGGAGGGACCAUUCUUCGGAUCCCCCCUUUGGUGAAGAAAGGCAGGCAGGCAGGAAGGCAGGUGAUGGGAGGACGGGAUGGGGUUGUGGGUGUCAACAUUGAGGCAAGUGAAGAUGUGCUCCAUGAUGUUGCUUGUGCCCAUCCAUCCAUACAUACAUACAUACAUCGCUGGAUAUUCCAGAAUAAGAAUAGUCCACAAAAUUUGAUAUUUGUCUUUGGAGCCCUGUCUACCUCUACGGAAAUUUCGCUACUUCAUUAAAUACAUGAUUAAUUGCUAAA